AGAGUUUGAUCCUGGCUCAGGAUGAACGCUGGCGGCGUGCCUAAUACAUGCAAGUCGAACGGUGCAACGCAAGUUGCAUAGUGGCGAACGGGUGAGUAACGCGUUGGUAACCUGCCCCGGAGUGUGGGAUAACAGGCCGAAAGGCUUGCUAAUACCGCAUGGGCAAAGAGAGAAUAGCAGUCUCUUUGUAAAGGAGUAAUUCGCUCUGGGAGGGGCCUGCGACCCAUCAGCUAGUUGGUAAGGUAACGGCCUACCAAGGCGAUGACGGGUAGGGGACCUGAGAGGGUGGCCCCCCACAAUGGAACUGAAACACGGUCCAUACACCUACGGGUGGCAGCAGUAGGGAAUAUUGCAUAAUGGGCGAAAGCCUGAUGCAGCAACGCCGCGUGUGCGAUGAAGGCCUUCGGGUUGUAAAGCACUUUUGACCGGGAAGAGGAAGGACGGUACCGGUCGAAUAAGCCUCGGCUAACUACGUGCCAGCCGCCGCGGUAAUAC
This 495-nucleotide ribosomal RNA is filed under the name uncultured bacterium. RNAcentral's name for it is "bacterial SSU rRNA". It matches the Rfam family "Bacterial small subunit ribosomal RNA", at positions 8 to 526 of the family's 1533-position model. The record is from RNAcentral.